AAAUUGAAGAGUUUGAUCAUGGCUCAGAUUGAACGCUGGCGGCAGGCCUAACACAUGCAAGUCGAACGGUAACAGGAAGCAGCUUGCUGUUUCGCUGACGAGUGGCGGACGGGUGAGUAAUGUCUGGGAAACUGCCUGAUGGAGGGGGAUAACUACUGGAAACGGUGGCUAAUACCGCAUAACGUCGCAAGACCAAAGAGGGGGACCUUCGGGCCUCUUGCCAUCAGAUGUGCCCAGAUGGGAUUAGCUAGUUGGUGAGGUAACGGCUCACCAAGGCGACGAUCCCUAGCUGGU
RNAcentral lists this ribosomal RNA (294 nucleotides) under Salmonella enterica subsp. enterica serovar Newport. RNAcentral describes it as "partial 16S ribosomal RNA". It matches the Rfam family "Bacterial small subunit ribosomal RNA", at positions 1 to 291 of the family's 1533-position model. Lineage: Bacteria; Pseudomonadati; Pseudomonadota; Gammaproteobacteria; Enterobacterales; Enterobacteriaceae. The record is from RNAcentral.